UUUUUAUGUGACUCUUCCAAGUCUAAAAACUUCUCUUCUUUUCUAUAUGACCAAGCUCCCACGUGAGGUGCAGCUUUAUUCAUUCCUCUCUCUUGCGAAAAUGGCCUCAGAAGUCCUCAUUUUCUUGACUCUAAAUUCCGGUGGCCUUCCUCUAGAAGCAAAAGGCAGCUCCGCAAUACUUGGGCUCCUAAAGAUUUUGUAAUGUUUUGAAAUUCUUUUCAGGUUUGUCAGCCGAUGAAUUCCAAAAUGAAUAAGGGUUACAUAUUUCUUUUCUUUCUGCUGCCUCAGCUCUUCACCACUUGCUUGUCCUCUUUUUGUGGCUCGAAUUCAAAGCAAAAGAGGAAGAAGAUAACCAGUAGGUGACCCUGUUUUCAUUUUUCUGUGUUCUGAAUUUGAUUCGCAGUGGGUUGAAGCUCUGAACUGUGACUGAUUGGUUUAAUUAAUUCGUGCAGAAGUAACAGAAUCUCUUUGAUUGGUUGUUUGGACAAACUAUUUUGCAGUACUUUGAAAACAAGUGUUGAUUCAUGGCUCCAAAGAUGGGAAUUUGCACUCAUAAAUUCGUAGUAAUGCAUCCCUCGUAUCUGCUGCAUUUUGAAUGAGUUUUGAUGUAUUAGAGUGUAAUUACUCUCUGGCAUUUCUGUUUCCUCAGGGGAAAUUAUUUGACUGGUCUUGACAGUGGGCAUUUGGACACCCCUUUUGUGUUCCCAUUUAUGUUUUGUCUUUGAUACUUGCCAUGCUUUUCUUGUUAACACUUGUAUAAAGUGAUGUUUUUCCCAAAA
Malus domestica (apple) is the source of this 779-nucleotide non-coding RNA. Lineage: Eukaryota; Viridiplantae; Streptophyta; Magnoliopsida; Rosales; Rosaceae. The record is from RefSeq and is a predicted model, not a curated record.